GGGUUGUGCUGGGGCUGCUGCAAUGGGGCUGCAGAGCACCUUCAGCAUCAACCCAGGUAGGAAUGCAUUCCAGCAAUGCAUGGGGGCUGGGCUGUAUUGCUGAGGUACUAAUGCAUUGCUGGGGCUGCAGAGCACCUUCAGCAUCAACCCGGGUAGGAAUGCAUCAAUGCAUGGGGCUGUGCUGCAUUGCUGGGGCUGUGCUGGGGCUGCAGAGCGCCUUCAGCAUCAACCCUG
This 234-nucleotide long non-coding RNA is filed under the name Zonotrichia albicollis (white-throated sparrow). Its description in RNAcentral is "lncRNA (ENSZALG00000007496.1)". The record is from RNAcentral. Lineage: Eukaryota; Metazoa; Chordata; Aves; Passeriformes; Passerellidae.